GGUGGCGGGGAAGGGUUGACACAGGGAAUAGUGAAGAAUGUUCUUGUUACUAAAGUUGAACACAGCUCCAGAUCUGAGCUCUGGAACCCUCUUGGAAGAGAGGAUGAUAACUGCUUCUUUUUUCUUUUAAACAUGUCCUCAGACUAUUCUACGGAUCGUGGUACUGGGGAUCUGGGAUUACAUCGAAAACAAAAUAGAGGUGUUCGAUGGGGCUGUGAUCAUCCUGUCCUUGGCCCCGAUGGUGGCGUCCACUGUGGCUAACGGACCCAGGAGCCCCUGGGAUGCCAUCAGUCUCAUUAUCAUGUUCCGAAUCUG
Molecule: long non-coding RNA, 315 nt
Filed under: Rattus norvegicus (Norway rat)
Lineage: Eukaryota; Metazoa; Chordata; Mammalia; Rodentia; Muridae
Description: long non-coding RNA NONRATT027713
Source: RNAcentral